This 533-nucleotide ribosomal RNA is filed under the name uncultured bacterium. RNAcentral describes it as "bacterial SSU rRNA". It matches the Rfam family "Bacterial small subunit ribosomal RNA", at positions 8 to 524 of the family's 1533-position model. The record is from RNAcentral.
AGAGUUUGAUCCUGGCUCAGGACGAACGCUGGCGGCGUGCCUAAUACAUGCAAGUAGAACGCUGAAGGAGGAGCUUGCUCUCUCCGGAUGAGUUGCGAACGGGUGAGUAACGCGUAGGUAACCUGCCUGGUAGUGGGGGAUAACUAUUGGAAACGAUAGCUAAUACCGCAUAACAGUAGAUGUUGCAUGACAUUUGCUUAAAAGGUGCAAUUGCAUCACUACCAGAUGGACCUGCGUUGUAUUAGCUAGUUGGUGGGGUAACGGCUCACCAAGGCGACGAUACAUAGCCGACCUGAGAGGGUGAUCGGCCACACUGGGACUGAGACACGGCCCAGACUCCUACGGGAGGCAGCAGUAGGGAAUCUUCGGCAAUGGACGGAAGUCUGACCGAGCAACGCCGCGUGAGUGAAGAAGGUUUUCGGAUCGUAAAGCUCUGUUGUAAGAGAAGAACGAGUGUGAGAGUGGAAAGUUCACACUGUGACGGUAUCUUACCAGAAAGGGACGGCUAACUACGUGCCAGCAGCCGCGGUAAU